This is a long non-coding RNA of Esox lucius (northern pike), 365 nucleotides long. Lineage: Eukaryota; Metazoa; Chordata; Actinopteri; Esociformes; Esocidae. The record is from Ensembl.
GUAACAAGCGCCUAUUGUCUGUUGCAUCAUUCACCACAGUGUUCCAAACUGCCUCUGAAAGCAACAUUGGGAGCUUCAUGAAAUGCAUUUCCAUGGCCAAGCAGCUGUACGCAAGCCUUACAUCAACAUGCGCAAUGCCAAGGGUCGGCUGGAGUUGGUAUUUUAUAAAGUGUCCUCCAUUCCCCCUUGCCAUGUGGUCUGCCUCCCCCAUCUUCACAAUACUGACAGACUUUGCCACAUCCAACUCCACUGCUGCUGAUCCCUGGAAAACCCAUUUCAUCACGAGUGUGAGAUGACGCCGGCCAUGGAUGGGGAGAACAUCCACACAUAAGAUGUGUUUAUAGGACUAGGGACUCUGCUGGGGC